Mastomys coucha (southern multimammate mouse) is the source of this 140-nucleotide small nucleolar RNA. RefSeq annotates it as small nucleolar RNA SNORA29. The record is from RefSeq and is a predicted model, not a curated record. The transcript has a single exon. Lineage: Eukaryota; Metazoa; Chordata; Mammalia; Rodentia; Muridae.
UUUCCCAUUUGACUACCACAUUUUCUCUUUCAAAUAGAGUUUAGUGCCUAUGCUUAUGGGAUAGAUGAAAGGUGCCAUGAUCUGAAGAGGGGAAGCUGUUCUGCGUCUUUCCUCUAUAUGAAAUGGCUGAACAGGAAAAA